RNAcentral lists this ribosomal RNA (468 nucleotides) under uncultured bacterium. Its description in RNAcentral is "bacterial SSU rRNA". It matches the Rfam family "Bacterial small subunit ribosomal RNA", at positions 335 to 795 of the family's 1533-position model. The record is from RNAcentral.
UUCCCUACGGGGGGCAGCAGUGGGGAAUAUUGGACAAUGGGCGCAAGCCUGAUCCAGCAAUGCCGCGUGGGUGAAGACGGCCUGCGGGUUGUAAAGCCCUUUAGGCGGGGAGGAACGGCGUCGUGCGAACAGUGCGGCGUUCUGACGUUACCCGCGGAAUAAGCACCGGCUAACUCCGUGCCAGCAGCCGCGGUAAUACGGAGGGUGCGAGCGUUAAUCGGAAUUACUGGGCGUAAAGCGUGCGUAGGCGGUUUGGUCAGUCAGCCGUGAAAGCCCCGGGCUUAACCUGGGAAUGGCGGUUGAGACGGCUGGACUUGAGUGGGCUAGAGGAUCGUGGAAUUCCGGGUGUAGCGGUGAAAUGCGUAGAGAUCCGGAGGAACACCGAUGGCGAAGGCAGCGGUCUGGGGCCACACUGACGCUGAGGCACGACAGCGUGGGGAGCAAACAGGAUUAGAUACCCGGGUAGUC